UANCACAUGCAAGUCGAGCGGCAGCGGAAAGUAGCUUGCUACUUGCCGGCGAGCGGCGGACGGGUGAGUAAUGUCUGGGAAACUGCUGAUGGAGGGGGAUAACUACUGGAAACGGUAGCUAAUACCGCAUAACGUCGCAAGACCAAAGAGGGGGACNUUCGGGCCUCUUGCCAUCAGAUGUGCCCAGAUGGGAUUAGCUAGUAGGUGGGGUAACGGCUCACCUAGGCGACGAUCCCUAGCUGGUCUGAGAGGAUGACCAGCCACACUGGAACUGAGACACGGUCCAGACUCCUACGGGAGGCAGCAGUGGGGAAUAUUGCACAAUGGGCGCAAGCCUGAUGCAGCCAUGCCGCGUGUAUGAAGAAGGCCUUCGGGUUGUAAAGUACUUUCAGCGGGGAGGAAGGUGUUGAGGUUAAUAACCUCAGCAAUUGACGUUACCCGCAGAAGAAGCACCGGCUAACUCCGUGCCAGCAGCCGCGGUAAUACGGAGGGUGCAAGCGUUAAUCGGAAUUACUGGGCGUAAAGCGCACGCAGGCGGUCUGUCAAGUCGGAUGUGAAAUCCCCGGGCUCAACCUGGGAACUGCAUUCGAAACUGGCAGGCUAGAGUCUUGUAGAGGGGGGUAGAAUUCCAGGUGUAGCGGUGAAAUGCGUAGAGAUCUGGAGGAAUACCGGUGGCGAAGGCGGCCCCCUGGACAAAGACUGACGCUCAGGUGCGAAAGCGUGGGGAGCAAACAGGAUUAGAUACCCUGGUAGUCCACGCCGUAAACGAUGUCGACUUGGAGGUUGUGCCCUUGAGGCGUGGCUUCCGGAGCUAACGCGUUAAGUCGACCGCCUGGGGAGUACGGCCGCAAGGUUAAAACUCAAAUGAAUUGACGGGGGCCCGCACAAGCGGUGGAGCAUGUGGUUUAAUUCGAUGCAACGCGAAGAACCUUACCUACUCUUGACAUCCAGAGAACUUUCCAGAGAUGGAUUGGUGCCUUCGGGAACUCUGAGACAGGUGCU
Molecule: ribosomal RNA, 1002 nt
Filed under: Enterobacter mori
Lineage: Bacteria; Pseudomonadati; Pseudomonadota; Gammaproteobacteria; Enterobacterales; Enterobacteriaceae
Description: bacterial SSU rRNA
Rfam family: Bacterial small subunit ribosomal RNA
Source: RNAcentral